This 301-nucleotide ribosomal RNA is filed under the name uncultured bacterium. RNAcentral describes it as "partial 16S ribosomal RNA". It matches the Rfam family "Bacterial small subunit ribosomal RNA", at positions 509 to 807 of the family's 1533-position model. The record is from RNAcentral.
CAGCAGCCGCGGUAAUACAGAGGGUGCGAGCGUUAAUCGGAAUUACUGGGCGUAAAGCGCGCGUAGACGGUUUGGUAAGUCAGAUGUGAAAUCCCUGGGCUCAACCUGGGAACUGCAUUUGAUACUGCCUGGCUAGAGUAUCGAAGAGGGAAGUGGAAUUUCCGGUGUAGCGGUGAAAUGCGUAGAUAUCGGAAGGAACACCAGUGGCGAAAGCGACUUCCUGGUCGAAUACUGACGUUCAUGUGCGAAAGCGUGGGGAGCAAACAGGAUUAGAUACCCCAGUAGUCCCUGUCUCUUAUAC